Meriones unguiculatus (Mongolian gerbil) is the source of this 812-nucleotide long non-coding RNA. RefSeq lists it as uncharacterized. The record is from RefSeq and is a predicted model, not a curated record. NCBI's taxonomy places the organism in Eukaryota, Metazoa, Chordata, Mammalia, Rodentia, Muridae. The transcript has 2 exons.
AGCCCACACGAGCGCUCCAGGGGCACGAUGAAGCUGGGAACCCGCUGGCUCUUGCCUGUGUGCCGAGUGGAGGCCUGGUGCCUGCCUAGUGCCCAGCGCGUCCCUCCCUGCUUCCAACCACAGAGGUGCCGGGGCAGGGUGAGCCUUGGAAUGAAGGAGAGGAAGGGGCCUGAAAGGAACGCAGAUUGGUCCCCUGCCAGCAAACCCCACGUGCAUUGCCUAACUGACAAGCUGUGUGGCUCCUGCAGCAUGUUUAAACAGGCUCGAGCCUGUCCAUUUGGACAAAGCGACAUCUCUGUUCCAGAGAGCUUCCUGGGAAACAGACGGACAGUGUCUAAAGAACCUCACUGGGAAAGGGAGAAGUGGAGAUGGAGGAGCCGGCAAAGGAAAGUGGGGAUUCAGCUGGAGCUCUCGGGGGUGUCUCCAAGACCACUAAGGAUGAGGAUGUGAAUUCCGCUCGCGCCCUCUGGUGGCUGUAUGAGGAAUAGGCGCGGGGGUGAGGCAGAAGUCGGAGAAAGGCCCCGCCUACCACGGGGCGGGGAUAGGGAUGAGCAGCAACCGAGGAGAUGUGUCGAAUGUGUGAUGCCCACAGACUAAAAUACGUGUUCUACAGCCUGCGGGACUUGAGAGUAGUAGAAUCUCCUAUCCGGUGCCCAAAAUGCCAGGGUGACUGGAGAGCUGGCACUUGCUGCCAAGCAUGACUACUUGGGUUCCACGCCCAGGACCCACAAAAUGGAGAAAAGGAGCUGACCCCCUGCACGCAUGCACGCACACACACAAUAAUAAUAAUAAUAAAAUUAAAGUGUAAUAUA